This 456-nucleotide ribosomal RNA is filed under the name uncultured bacterium. RNAcentral describes it as "partial 16S ribosomal RNA". It matches the Rfam family "Bacterial small subunit ribosomal RNA", at positions 30 to 507 of the family's 1533-position model. The record is from RNAcentral.
UAAACGCUGGCGGCGUGCAUGAGACAUGCAAGUCGCACGAAGGAUCGGGCUUGCUCGAUCCUUAGUGGCGGACGGCUGAGUAACGCGUAGGUGACCUACCCCGAAGUGGGGAAUAACUGCCCGAAAGGGUGGCUAAUACCGCAUGUGGUCGCACGUUCAUUCGUGCGAGUAAAGCCGCAAGGCGCUUCGGGAGGGGCCUGCGUCCGAUUAGCUCGUUGGUGGGGUAAUGGCUUACCAAGGCGACGAUCGGUAGGUGGUCUGAGAGGACGAUCACCCAGACUGGGACUGAGACACGGCCCAGACUCCUACGGGAGGCAGCAGUCGGGAAUUUUGCUCAAUGGGGGAAACCCUGAAGCAGCAACGCCGCGUGAGGGAUGAAGGCCUUCGGGUUGUAAACCUCUUUUGUCAGGGACGAUGAUGACGGUACCUGGCGAAUAAGCCACGGCUAACUACGUG